GCGGCGGUAGCCAAGCCAGGUCAAUAAAAUGGUUUGUUGGCUAGAGGCGAAGGACUCAAGAUCCUUUCCCGUAGGGGUUCGCCGGUUCGAAUCCGGCCCGCCGCACCA
This 108-nucleotide transfer RNA is filed under the name Candidatus Bathyarchaeota archaeon. Its description in RNAcentral is "tRNA-Leu". It matches the Rfam family "tRNA". From Rfam's summary of the family: Transfer RNA (tRNA) molecules are approximately 80 nucleotides in length. Their secondary structure includes four short double-helical elements and three loops (D, anti-codon, and T loops). Lineage: Archaea; Thermoproteati; Candidatus Bathyarchaeota. The record is from RNAcentral.